AACGAACGCUGGCGGCAUGCCUAACACAUGCAAGUCGAACGAGACCUUCGGGUCUAGUGGCGCACGGGUGCGUAACGCGUGGGAACCUGCCUUUAGGUUCGGAAUAACUCCCCGAAAGGGGUGCUAAUACCGGAUAAUGUCUUCGGACAAAGAUUUAUCGCCUUUAGAUGGGCCCGCGUAAGAUUAGGUAGUUGGUGGGGUAAAGGCCUACCAAGCCGACGAUCUUUAGCUGGUCUGAGAGGAUGAUCAGCCACACUGGGACUGAGACACGGCCCAGACUCCUACGGGAGGCAGCAGUGGGGAAUAUUGGACAAUGGGCGAAAGCCUGAUCCAACAAUGCCGCGUGAGAGAUGAAGGCCUUAGGGUUGUAAAGCUCUUUUACCAGGGAUGAUAAUGACAGUACCUGGAGAAUAAGCUCCGGCUAACUCCGUGCCAGCAGCCGCGGUAAUACGGAGGAGCUAGCGUUGUUCGGAAUUACUGGGCGUAAAGCGCACGUAGGCGGCGAUUC
This 508-nucleotide ribosomal RNA is filed under the name uncultured bacterium. RNAcentral's name for it is "bacterial SSU rRNA". It matches the Rfam family "Bacterial small subunit ribosomal RNA", at positions 28 to 584 of the family's 1533-position model. The record is from RNAcentral.